This is a non-coding RNA of Bos taurus (domestic cattle), 73 nucleotides long. The record is from Rfam. Lineage: Eukaryota; Metazoa; Chordata; Mammalia; Artiodactyla; Bovidae.
UCCCUGAUAGCUCAGUUGGUAAAGAAUCUGCCUGCAGUGCAGGAGAUCCUGGUUCGAUUUCUGGGUCAGGAAU